RNAcentral lists this ribosomal RNA (269 nucleotides) under uncultured prokaryote. RNAcentral's name for it is "partial 16S ribosomal RNA". It matches the Rfam family "Bacterial small subunit ribosomal RNA", at positions 524 to 792 of the family's 1533-position model. The record is from RNAcentral.
UACGGAAGUGGCGAGCGUUAUCCGGAAUCACUGGGCGUAAAGCGUUCGUAGGCGGCGUGGUAAGUCGGGUUUGAAAUCCCGGGGCUCAACUCCGGAACCGGAUCCGAAACUACCGCACUUGAGCGGAUCAGAGGGCAGUGGAAUUCCCGGUGUAGCGGUAAUAUGCGUAGAUAUCGGGAGGAACACCAGUGGCGAAGGCGGCUGCCUGGGGUCUUGCUGACGCUGAGGAACGAAAGCCAGGGGAGCGAACGGGAUUAGAUACCCCCGUA